RNAcentral lists this ribosomal RNA (718 nucleotides) under uncultured Oscillatoriales cyanobacterium. RNAcentral describes it as "bacterial SSU rRNA". It matches the Rfam family "Bacterial small subunit ribosomal RNA", at positions 94 to 827 of the family's 1533-position model. Lineage: Bacteria; Bacillati; Cyanobacteriota; Cyanophyceae; Oscillatoriales. The record is from RNAcentral.
AGUGGCGGACGGGUGAGUAACACGUGGGAAUCUACCAUAAGGUGGGGGAUAGCAGACCGAAAGGUCUAUUAAUACCGCAUAUGUAGGCAUCUCGACAGAGGUGCUUAUGAAAGGAGUAAUCCGCCUUUUGAUGAGCCCGCGUCCGAUUAGCUAGUUGGUAGGGUAAAAGCCUACCAAGGCGACGAUCGGUAGGUGGUCUGAGAGGAUGAUCACCCACAAUGGGACUGAGACACGGCCCAUACUCCUACGGGAGGCAGCAGUGGGGAAUUUUACGCAAUGGGGGAAACCCUGACGUAGCGACACCGCGUGAGCGAAGAAGCCCUUUGGGGUGUAAAGCUCUGUCAACAGGAACGAAAUCAAUGACGGUACCUGAGGAGGAAGCAUCGGCUAACUACGUGCCAGCAGCCGCGGUAAGACGUAGGAUGCAAGCGUUGUCCGGAUUUAUUGGGCGUAAAGAGUUCGUAGGCGGUUUGUUAAGUCUGAUGUUAAAGACCGGGGCUCAACCUCGGAAAUGCAUUGGAUACUGGCAGACUGGAGUGCAGUAGAGGCUAGUGGAAUUCCCAGUGUAGCGGUGAAAUGCGUAGAUAUUGGGAAGAACACCGGUGGCGUAGGCGACUAGCUGGGCUGUAACUGACGCUGAGGAACGAAAGCCAGGGGAGCGAAUGGGAUUAGAUACCCCAGUAGUCCUGGCCGUAAACGAUGGAUACUAGGCGUAGUG